This 1231-nucleotide long non-coding RNA is filed under the name Ananas comosus (pineapple). RNAcentral's name for it is "long non-coding RNA (ACOM_LNC030115)". The record is from RNAcentral. Lineage: Eukaryota; Viridiplantae; Streptophyta; Magnoliopsida; Poales; Bromeliaceae.
AAAUCAUUAACAUUAUCUAUUGUGUGUUAAAAUUCCCUCUUACUCUAUUCUUUUAUAUAUAUAUAUAUAUAGAAUUGAGCUCCUAUACUUUUAAAAGUACCAAGUUAUUGGUGCUUGUAGAUUUUUGGCUAUUGGAUUAAGAGAUGUGCGGUUAGGAUGAUGUGGGCCCCCUAGGGUUGAGUAGGUGGUUGGUUGAAUAGUAUAAUCUAACGGGUGAAAAUGAUUAAAGGUGCAAAUCUAAUGGUAAAAAAUUCACAUGCACCAAGAGCUUGGUGCUUUUACAAGUAUCAUAGCCGGACUCUAUAUAUAUAGAGAGAGAGAGAGAGAGAGAGUCCGGCUGGGAUACUAUCGAUAGCACCAAGCGUUUGGUGUUAUCAAGUUUUCUGCAGUUAGAUUAAACACUUUAACUAUUUUCACCCGUUAGAUUAUACUAUUAAACCAAUAACUCACUCAACCCUAGGGGACCCACAUCAUCCUAAUCGUAUAUUUUUUCAUCAAAGGGCCAAAAACCUAAUAGCACCAAAUGCUUUGUGCUAUUGAUAGUAUUUUAGCCUAGGUCUAUAAUUAUAUAUAUAGAGCAGGACUGAUGUGCUCUCAGGAGCACGGAGGCCUCCGUGCUCCUGAGCCCUUUUCGAUGAUCGAAUUUCUGAAUCGACGAUCGACUCCGGUAGACUUGAUCUAGCGUAUUUGAAAUUUCUAAAAAAUAAUUUUUGCGAUUUUUCGAUAUCAUUUACCUAGCAAUCGAAAGGAUUCAAAAUCAAUAAUUUUUAAUGGUUGAAAAUAAAAAUCCUAUAAAAAGUGGUGAUAUAGCAUUAAAAUUUUCAAUCAGAAAUAUUGAUCUUGUUGUAAAUAGUAUAAAAAAUUUUGUAUCAAAAUUUCAUCUGAUUUGAAUACUUCUACACCGUUAAACUUGAAAACGGCAUAUAUCAACUGUUAAAAAUUAUUAAUUUUGAACCAUUUCGAUCAUUAGAUAAAUGAUAUCAAAAAAUCACAAAAAUUAUUUUCUAGAAACUUCAAAUACCCUAGAUCAAGUCUAACGGAGCUGAUCGUUGAUUCGAAAAUUCCAUCAUUGAAAACGGCUCAGGAGCACGGAAGCAUCCGUGCUCCUAAGAGCACAGCAGUCCUGCUCUCUCUCUCUCUCUCUCUCUCUCUCUCUCUCUCUCUCUCUCUCUAUAUAUAUAUAUAUAUAUAUAUAUAUAUAAAUUACUCCGGCCAAACACCAUAAAUUAUU